GGAGAGGUGUCCGAGUGGCUGAAGGAGCACGCUUGGAAAGCGUGUAGCCGAGCAAUCGGCUCGUGGGUUCGAAUCCCACCCUCUCCGCCA
RNAcentral lists this transfer RNA (90 nucleotides) under Terriglobia bacterium. RNAcentral's name for it is "tRNA-Ser". It matches the Rfam family "tRNA". Rfam says of the family: Transfer RNA (tRNA) molecules are approximately 80 nucleotides in length. Their secondary structure includes four short double-helical elements and three loops (D, anti-codon, and T loops). Further hydrogen bonds mediate the characteristic L-shaped molecular structure. tRNAs have two regions of fundamental functional importance: the anti-codon, which is responsible for specific mRNA codon recognition, and the 3' end, to which the tRNAs corresponding amino acid is attached (by aminoacyl-tRNA synthetases). tRNAs cope with the degeneracy of the genetic code in two manners: having more than one tRNA (with a specific anti-codon) for a particular amino acid; and 'wobble' base-pairing, i.e. permitting non-standard base-pairing at the 3rd anti-codon position. Lineage: Bacteria; Pseudomonadati; Acidobacteriota; Terriglobia. The record is from RNAcentral.